GACGAACGCUGGCGGCGUGCUUAACACAUGCAAGUCGAACGGAAAGGCCCUGCUUUUGUGGGGUGCUCGAGUGGCGAACGGGUGAGUAACACGUGAGUAACCUGCCCUUGACUUUGGGAUAACUCCAGGAAACUGGGGCUAAUAUCGGAUAGGAGAUCCUGCUGCAUGGUGGGGGUUGGAAAGUUUCGGCGGUUGGGGAUGGACUCGCGGCUUAUCAGCUUGUUGGUGGGGUAGUGGCUUACCAAGGCUUUGACGGGUAGCCGGCCUGAGAGGGUGACCGGCCACAUUGGGACUGAGAUACGGCCCAGACUCCUACGGGAGGCAGCAGUGGGGAAUAUUGCACAAUGAGCGGAAGCCUGAUGCAGCAACGCCGCGUGCGGGAUGACGGCCUUCGAGUGGUAAACCGCUUUCGCCUGUAACGAAGCGUGAGUGACGGUAAUGGGUAAAGAAGCACCGGCUAACUACGUG
This 468-nucleotide ribosomal RNA is filed under the name uncultured bacterium. Its description in RNAcentral is "partial 16S ribosomal RNA". It matches the Rfam family "Bacterial small subunit ribosomal RNA", at positions 28 to 507 of the family's 1533-position model. The record is from RNAcentral.